AUUAAAAAGUUAACUGUGUAAAUCAGUUUAGUUUGAAUUUUAUAAAAUUAUUAUUUAUUAUUUUAAAAAAAAUAUUUUUAUUUUUUAUUAUUAUUUGUAGAAAAAAGUCAAUUAAUUAUAGUUAAUAAGUAUAGUGAUAGAAUUAUAUUAAAAUAUAAAAAGAAAAAUUUAUUUUUUGUACCUUGUGUAUCAGGGUUUAUUAAUUAAAUUUUAAUUAUUAUUAAAUUUCUCGAUUUUAAAAGAGUUAAUUAUUUAUGUAUUUUAUUGUAAAAUAAAUACUUAAAAUAAAUAAUUAGUAAUGAAACGUUAUUCGUUUUUAAAUAUAUCUAGUUCUUAAAGAAAAAAAUUCAAUUUUUUUUAUAUAAAUAUUUAAUUUUUAUUAAAAAUUAAAAUUUUAUGUAGCCUAUAUUAUUUGGGAUAAGCUAGAUAAUAGAAUAGUAUAAAUUUAUGUUAAUAUAUUUAAAUUGUAGAAUUAGAAAUUUUCAUCAUUUAAUUUGUUAUAAUUAAUUAAUGAUUUUAAAAGAUUUAUAUAAAUUUUAAUUUUUUUAUUUAAGUAUUAAAUUUAAUUAAUAAAUUUAAGAGAUAAUGAUAAAAUUAGUAUAAUUUAUUGUAUAAUUUAUUUAAUUAGGUUAUGUUAUAAAAAGGAAUUCGGCAAAUAAAUUUUUCGCCUGUUUAUUAAAAACAUGUCUUUUUGAUUUUAAUUUAAAGUCUAACCUGCCCAAUGAGUAGUUUAAUGGCCGCAGUAUUUUGACUGUGCAAAGGUAGCAUAAUCAUUAGUUUCUUAAUUAGGAACUGGAAUGAAAGGUUGGACGAGAGAAUGACUGUCUCUUUAUAAUUUUUUUAGAAUUUUAUUUUUAAGUUAAAAAGCUUAAAUUUUUUUAAAAGACGAGAAGACCCUAUAGAGUUUUAUAUAAUUUUAUUUAAGUAAUUAAAAUUGAAUUUUUUAAGUUUUAAAGUUAAUUAUAUUUGAUUGGGGUGAUUAAAAAAUUUAAUAAACUUUUUUUAAAUAAUAACAUUAAUAUAUGAUUUGUUGAUCCAUAAUUUAUGAUUACAAGAUUAAAUUACCUUAGGGAUAACAGCGUAAUUUCUUUGAAGAGUUCAAAUCGAUAAAGAAGGUUGCGACCUCGAUGUUGGAUUAAAAUUAAAUUUUGGUGUAGGAGCUAAAAUAUUAGGUCUGUUCGACCUUUUAAAUUUUACAUGAUCUGAGUUUAAACCGGUGUGAGCCAGGUUGGUUUCUAUCUUUAAAUAAUUUAUAUAUUCUAGUACGAAAGGACCGAAUAUUUAUAAAAUUUAUUAUUAAUUGAAUUUUAAUAAUUAUUAUUUUGGCAGAUUAGUGCAUUAAAUUUAGAAUUUAAUUAUGUAAUUAAAUUACAAA
Molecule: ribosomal RNA, 1375 nt
Filed under: Aleocharinae sp. 5 EF-2015
Lineage: Eukaryota; Metazoa; Arthropoda; Insecta; Coleoptera; Staphylinidae
Description: 16S ribosomal RNA
Rfam family: Archaeal large subunit ribosomal RNA (bases 1072-1230)
Source: RNAcentral